GUUCUCGGUGGCUCAGUCGGAUAGAGCGUCUGCCAUGUAAGCAGGAUGUCCCGGGUUCGAGUCCCGGUCGGAGCA
RNAcentral lists this transfer RNA (75 nucleotides) under Schistocerca americana (American grasshopper). Its description in RNAcentral is "tRNA-Thr". The stretch from base 6 to 70 matches the Rfam family "tRNA", at positions 5 to 66 of the family's 71-position model. Rfam says of the family: Transfer RNA (tRNA) molecules are approximately 80 nucleotides in length. The record is from RNAcentral. Lineage: Eukaryota; Metazoa; Arthropoda; Insecta; Orthoptera; Acrididae.